This 57-nucleotide transfer RNA is filed under the name Staphylococcus aureus M0218. RNAcentral's name for it is "tRNA-Ser". It matches the Rfam family "tRNA", at positions 19 to 71 of the family's 71-position model. From Rfam's summary of the family: Transfer RNA (tRNA) molecules are approximately 80 nucleotides in length. Their secondary structure includes four short double-helical elements and three loops (D, anti-codon, and T loops). Further hydrogen bonds mediate the characteristic L-shaped molecular structure. tRNAs have two regions of fundamental functional importance: the anti-codon, which is responsible for specific mRNA codon recognition, and the 3' end, to which the tRNAs corresponding amino acid is attached (by aminoacyl-tRNA synthetases). tRNAs cope with the degeneracy of the genetic code in two manners: having more than one tRNA (with a specific anti-codon) for a particular amino acid; and 'wobble' base-pairing, i.e. permitting non-standard base-pairing at the 3rd anti-codon position. The record is from RNAcentral. Lineage: Bacteria; Bacillati; Bacillota; Bacilli; Caryophanales; Staphylococcaceae.
UAGAGCAUCUGACUUUUAAUCAGAGGGUCAGAGGUUCGAAUCCUCUAUGGCUCACCA